UCAAAUCAGGUAGGACUACCCGCUGGACUUAAGCAUAUCAAUAAGCGGAGGAAAAGAAACUAACAAGGAUUCCCCUAGUAACUGCGAGUGAAGCGGGAAAAGCUCAAAUUUGAAAUCUGGCAGUUCUUGACUGUCCGAGUUGUAAUCUAGAGAAGUGUUACCUGUGCUGGACCGUGUGCAAGUCUCCUGGAAUGGAGCGUCAUAGAGGGUGAGAAUCCCGUCUUUAACACGGACUACCAUGUACAUUACGGUGCGCUCUCAAAGAGUCGAGUUGUUUGGGAAUGCAGCUCAAAAUGGGUGGUAAAUGCCAUCUAAAGCUAAAUAUUGGCGAGAGACCGAUAGCGAACAAGUACCGUGAGGGAAAGAUGAAAAGUACUUUGGAAAGAGAGUUAAACAGUAUGUGAAAUUGCUGAAAGGGAAACGCUUGAAGUCAGUCGCGUUGGCUAGAAAUCAGCCUUGCUUUUGCUUGGUGUACUUUCUGGUUGACGGGUCAGCAUCAAUUUUGAUCACUGGAUAAAGUCUUUGGGAAUGUGGCAUCUUUGGAUGUGUUAUAGCCCAUUGUCGCAUACAGUGGUUGGGAUUGAGGAACUCAGCACGCCGCAAGGCCAGGUUUCGACCAUGUUCGUGCUUAGGAUGCUGGCAUAAUGGCUUUAAUCGACCCGUCUUGAAACACGGACCAA
Molecule: ribosomal RNA, 680 nt
Filed under: uncultured fungus
Lineage: Eukaryota; Fungi
Description: eukaryotic LSU rRNA
Rfam family: Eukaryotic large subunit ribosomal RNA
Source: RNAcentral